AGCCACUGUUCAUGCUCAAUUAAAGAUGAUGACGAAUAACGCAACCAACAGUAAUUAGUGGCUUGAAAGAAAAUGAUGGCUGAAAAAACGGUCAUGGCGAGACUGUUAAAGACAGAACUGACAGUAAGCCACAGCACAGCCAAAGCUGAGGCCUCCUCCCAGCUGAGGUUUGAUUAGGAGGACUGCCAGCAAAUGUGACCGACUUUUAUUUCACAGAAGAAAGAACAGAGCAACAAUGAAGACACAGAAGGAAACAAGUCGCCUUUCUUGGCUGAAUACUGACAGAAUCCACUGUAGUUCCCCAGAAACCUAAAUUAAAAAGUUACAUUGGAUGUGGAAUCUUCAUAGACUUCUGGAUCAGUUGCUGUGAGGGAAGUUGACACUCAAGCAUCCCAUAGAAAUGUUUAUGUGUCAAGGAACUGAGGCCUCUUGCCAAGGACGGGCUCUAACUUGCUAGCUCAGGUAAGUCAUCUUGGAAACAGAUCUUCCAGC
This is a long non-coding RNA of Cercocebus atys (sooty mangabey), 492 nucleotides long. RefSeq lists it as uncharacterized. Lineage: Eukaryota; Metazoa; Chordata; Mammalia; Primates; Cercopithecidae. The transcript has 4 exons. The record is from RefSeq and is a predicted model, not a curated record.